Molecule: ribosomal RNA, 253 nt
Filed under: uncultured bacterium
Lineage: Bacteria
Description: partial 16S ribosomal RNA
Rfam family: Bacterial small subunit ribosomal RNA
Source: RNAcentral
UACGUAGGAUGCAAGCGUUGUCCGGAAUUAUUGGGCGUAAAGAGCGCGCAGGCGGUUUGAGAAGUCAGAUGUGAAAGAGGCCGGCUUAACCGGCAAGGGUCAUUUGAAACUGUCAGACUAGAGUGCAGCAGAGGAUAGUGGAAUUCCCGGUGUAGUGGUGAAAUGCGUAGAUAUCGGGAGGAACACCAGUGGCGAAGGCGACUAUCUGGGCUGCAACUGACGCUGAGGCGCGAAGGCUAGGGUAGCAAACAGG